GAAGAGACUUAGAGGUUCUCAAUUUUGGGAACUUGGAGAAACCUAUUCUUCCAUCCAAAUCCAUAGGUUUUAGAUGCAAGGAAUGAAGGCCCUCUCUUUGGGUGAUUAGCCUUUGCUUAUGCAAAGAGGAAUCUACAAAGGUAUAAAUUUCAACUCACUUUGUUUUGAGUUGAGUUUUGGUUCACCAAUCUACUAGGCUUUGAAUUUCUUGGUUAAUGUUUUGUUUUUGAAUGCAUGCAAGCAUGAUUCCGCCUUUUAAUUGUUAUUAGCAUGCUAUAGAUGUUAUUCAAAUGAACAUGUUUUCACAAAAUAUUCCUUUCAUGUACAUCAUUCAAGCUCUCUCCAAUUCAACACACAACUGCCCUGUGCAAAUUCUCUCAACAACCUUGAGAUUGUUUCCUUUCUCUUUUCGCCGACACACCUUCAGUUUAGAUAAAUAGCACUGUGAAGGCAACUAAUGAUAUCUUCAGUUGGUAUAAACAACACUGUCGCCGUAGAAUUAGCCGGUCUCGUAGCAUCUUUAGUCGGCAUAGAUAGCACUACGUCAAGGGCGACUGGUUAUCUAUCCAAGUCUCAUUCGAGAAGGAUUUUCGAAUCCUUAUUGGUCGAGGUCAUCUCAUCAGCCUUCUUGGCGAAGUGAAGUGUUACAGUUUAUUAGGAUCUGCACAUUGCACACCGAGUUAUUUUAUGAUUGGAUACUCUCAAGUGGGAUUUAGAGUUCGGCACUUCGACGGCCGAACCACGUUUAUUGUUAAGACUUAUAUCCGCUUUGAGUAUUUAUGCCCUUACACUUUGGUGUUGAUUCGGCGUGAGUUUACUCUGACGAAUACCAUCACUAUGACUGAAUCCAACGACGACGAUUUGUGAACUUCGUCAGAAUAGUAGCCUUGUCUUCAGGUUCGAGAACCCAAGAGGCCGAGACGUGCUCCUUCUUCGGUAGCAAUCGCAAGACACAGAAGUCGGCUUCGCACGUAACGCAACAUCAACACAUUUUACUCCUCGGUCGAACUCGGCCGACGAGUUGGCAUGCCCUGUAUUCAACCGGAUGACGUAGUUAGCUUAUAGAUUACUCGGCCUGUGCACCACAUAGGCUUAGUAGUUUUUAGGGUCAACAUUUUGGCACGCCCAGUGGGACCCAGUGCUAAAACUAUGAAGUUCAUGCUAAUUGACACACGAUCGGUUAAAAAGAAAACAACUAUGGGAAAAUCAACAACUGAUUUGCCAAUUCAGAACAUAGGACAAAAUGUAUCACAGGCACAGAAUCCCCUUAGCGCCGUGACACCUGAGUCCACAAACGUGACUCGCCGAG
This 1309-nucleotide long non-coding RNA is filed under the name Malus domestica (apple). Its description in RNAcentral is "long non-coding RNA (MDOM_LNC015323)". The record is from RNAcentral. Lineage: Eukaryota; Viridiplantae; Streptophyta; Magnoliopsida; Rosales; Rosaceae.